GACGAACGCUGGCGGCGUGCUUAACACAUGCAAGUCGAACGGAAAGGCCCUGCUUUUGUGGGGUGCUCGAGUGGCGAACGGGUGAGUAACACGUGAGUAACCUGCCCUUGACUUUGGGAUAACUUCAGGAAACUGGGGCUAAUACCGGAUAGGAGCUCCUGCUGCAUGGUGGGGGUUGGAAAGUUUCGGCGGUUGGGGAUGGACUCGCGGCUUAUCAGCUUGUUGGUGGGGUAGUGGCUUACCAAGGCUUUGACGGGUAGCCGGCCUGAGAGGGUGACCGGCCACCUUGGGCCUGAGAUACGGCCCAGACUCCUACGGGAGGCAGCAGUGGGGAAUAUUGCCCAAUGGGCGGAAGCCUGAUGCAGCAACGCCGCGUGCGGGAUGACGGCCUUCGGGUUGUAAACCGCUUUCGCCUGUGACGAAGCGUGAGUGACGGUAAUGUGUAAAGAAGCACCGGCUAACUACGUG
Molecule: ribosomal RNA, 468 nt
Filed under: uncultured bacterium
Lineage: Bacteria
Description: partial 16S ribosomal RNA
Rfam family: Bacterial small subunit ribosomal RNA
Source: RNAcentral